RNAcentral lists this ribosomal RNA (250 nucleotides) under uncultured bacterium. RNAcentral describes it as "partial 16S ribosomal RNA". It matches the Rfam family "Bacterial small subunit ribosomal RNA", at positions 524 to 773 of the family's 1533-position model. The record is from RNAcentral.
UACGUAGGGAGCGAGCGUUAUCCGGAUUCACUGGGUUUAAAGGGUGCGCAGGCGGGCGAAUAAGUCAGGGGUGAAAUCCUACAGCUUAACUGUAGAACUGCCUUUGAUACUGUUUGUCUGGAGUGAAGUUGGAGUGGGCGGAAUGUGAUAUGUAGCGGAAAAAUGCUUAGAUAUAACACAGAGCACCGAUCGCGAAGGCAGCUCACUAAACUUUAACUGACGCUCAUGCACGAAAGCGUGGGGAUCAAAC